This 403-nucleotide ribosomal RNA is filed under the name bacterium. Its description in RNAcentral is "partial 16S ribosomal RNA". It matches the Rfam family "Bacterial small subunit ribosomal RNA", at positions 355 to 776 of the family's 1533-position model. The record is from RNAcentral.
UGGGGAAUAUUGCACAAUGGAGGGAACUCUGAUGCAGCGACGCCGCGUGAACGAAGAAGGCUUUCGAGUCGUAAAGUUCUUUUAUAUGGGAAGAUAAUGACGGUACCAUAAGAAGAAGCCCCGGCUAACUACGUGCCAGCAGCCGCGGUAAUACGUAGGGGGCUAGCGUUGUCCGGAAUCACUGGGCGUAAAGGGUUCGCAGGCGGAAAUGCAAGUCAGGUGUAAAAGGCAGUAGCUUAACUACUGUAAGCAUUUGAAACUGCAUAUCUUGAGAAGAGUAGAGGUAAGUGGAAUUUUUAGUGUAGCGGUGAAAUGCGUAGAUAUUAAAAAGAAUACCGGUGGCGAAGGCGACUUACUGGGCUCAUUCUGACGCUGAGGAACGUAAGCGUGGGUAGCAAACAGG